UAUAAAUGCAGCCAUAAAGUUUUACUUUAUGUUCACUUUGAUCGUCUGUCUUAUUUAAUUUUUUUUAUGAUUAGUAUUUUUAUUGUUAUUAGAUGAUGAAAUAUAAAUAGCUUAUAUUUUUUAUUUUUUUUAAAAAAAAUUAAGACGAACUAUUAAAGUUGAACAUGGAAACUUAUUACUGCACUUAAA
Molecule: microRNA precursor, 189 nt
Filed under: Oryza glumipatula
Lineage: Eukaryota; Viridiplantae; Streptophyta; Magnoliopsida; Poales; Poaceae
Description: MIR812 microRNA precursor family
Rfam family: MIR812 microRNA precursor family
Source: Rfam by way of RNAcentral